RNAcentral lists this ribosomal RNA (459 nucleotides) under uncultured bacterium. RNAcentral's name for it is "partial 16S ribosomal RNA". It matches the Rfam family "Bacterial small subunit ribosomal RNA", at positions 338 to 795 of the family's 1533-position model. The record is from RNAcentral.
CCUACGGGAGGCAGCAGUGAGGAAUAUUGGUCAAUGGGCGUAAGCCUGAACCAGCCAAGUCGCGUGAGGGAAGAAGGUUCUAUGGAUUGUAAACCUCUUUUGUCGGGGAACAAAGGUAUCCACGUGUGGCUGUUUGCAGGUACCCUAAGAAUAAGCAUCGGCUAACUCCGUGCCAGCAGCCGCGGUAAUACGGAGGAUGCGAGCGUUAUCCGGAUUUAUUGGGUUUAAAGGGUGCGCAGGCGGGCGGUUAAGUCAGCGGUAAAAGGCCGGGGCUCAACCCCGGCCCGCCGUUGAAACUGGCAGUCUCGAGUGGGAGAGAAGUAUGCGGAAUGCGCGGUGUAGCGGUGAAAUGCAUAGAUAUCGCGCAGAACUCCGAUUGCGAAGGCAGCAUGCCGGCUCCACACUGACGCUGAGGCACGAAAGCGUGGGUAUCGAACAGGAUUAGAUACCCUGGUAGUC